Molecule: ribosomal RNA, 503 nt
Filed under: Bactrocera erubescentis
Lineage: Eukaryota; Metazoa; Arthropoda; Insecta; Diptera; Tephritidae
Description: partial large subunit ribosomal RNA
Rfam family: Bacterial large subunit ribosomal RNA
Source: RNAcentral
CCUGUUUAACAAAAACAUGUCUUUUUGAGUUAUUUUAAAAGUCUGACCUGCCCACUGAAAUUAUUUAAAUGGCCGCAGUAUUCUAACUGUGCAAAGGUAGCAUAAUCAUUAGUCUUUUAAUUGAAGGCUGGUAUGAACGGUUGGACGAGGUAUAAGCUGUUUCAUAUAAAUUUAUAAUAGAAUUUUAUAUUUUAGUCAAAAAGCUAAAAUUUAAUUAAAAGACGAGAAGACCCUAUAAAUCUUUAUAUUCUAAGUUGUUUAAAUUUUUUAGAUUAAUUUUAUUUUUAUAAUUUAGAGUAUUUUGUUGGGGUGAUAUUAAAAUUUAAUGAACUUUUAGUUGUUAAAAAUCAUUAAUUUAUGAGUUAUUGAUCCAUUAAUAGUGAUUAUAAGAUUAAGUUACUUUAGGGAUAACAGCGUAAUUUUUUUGGAGAGUUCAUAUCGAUAAAAAAGUUUGCGACCUCGAUGUUGGAUUAAGAUAUAUUUUUAGGUGUAGCCGCUUAAAU